AGUGAACGCUGGCGGUAGGCCUAACACAUGCAAGUCGAACGGCAGCACAGUAAGAGCUUGCUCUUACGGGUGGCGAGUGGCGGACGGGUGGGGAAUACAUCGGAAUCUACUUUUUCUUGGGGGAUAACGUAGGGAAACUUACGCUAAUACCGCAUACGACCUACGGGUGAAAGCAGGGGAUCUCCGGACCUUGCGCGAUUGAAUGAGCCGAUGUCGGAUUAGCUAGUUGGCGGGGUAAAGGCCCACCAAGGCGACGAUCCGUAGCUGGUCUGAGAGGAUGAUCAGCCACACUGGAACUGAGACACGGUCCAGACUCCUACGGGAGGCAGCAGUGGGGAAUAUUGGACAAUGGGCGAAAGCCUGAUCCAGCCAUACCGCGUGGGUGAAGAAGGCCUUCGGGUUGUAAAGCCCUUUUGUUGGGAAAGAAAAGCAGCACGUUAAUACCCCGCUGUUCUGACGGUACCCAAAGAAUAAGCACCGGCUAACUUCGUG
RNAcentral lists this ribosomal RNA (492 nucleotides) under uncultured bacterium. Its description in RNAcentral is "partial 16S ribosomal RNA". It matches the Rfam family "Bacterial small subunit ribosomal RNA", at positions 29 to 507 of the family's 1533-position model. The record is from RNAcentral.